GAUGAACGCUGGCGGCGUGCCUAAUACAUGCAAGUCGAGCGAACGGACGAGAAGCUUGCUUCUCUGAUGUUAGCGGCGGACGGGUGAGUAACACGUGGAUAACCUCCCUAUAAGACUGGGAUAACUUCGGGAAACCGGAGCUAAUACCGGAUGAUAUUUUGCACCGCAUGGUUCAAAAGUGAAAGACGGUCUUGCUGUCACUUCUAGAUGGAUCCGCGCUGCAUUAUCUAGUUGGUAAGGUAACGGCUUACCAAGGCAACGAUGCAUAGCCGACCUGAGAGGGGGAUCGGCCACACUGGAAGGGAGACACGGUCCAGACGCCGAAGGGAGGCAGCAGUAGGGAAUCUUACGCAAUGGGCGAAAGCCUGACGGAGCAACGCGGAGUGAGUGAUGAAGGUGUGCGGAUCGGAAAACUCUGUUAUUAGGGAAGAACAUAUGUGUAAGUAACUGUGCAGAUCUUGACGGUACCUAAUCAGAAAGCCACGGCUAACUACGUG
RNAcentral lists this ribosomal RNA (497 nucleotides) under uncultured bacterium. RNAcentral describes it as "partial 16S ribosomal RNA". It matches the Rfam family "Bacterial small subunit ribosomal RNA", at positions 28 to 507 of the family's 1533-position model. The record is from RNAcentral.